CAAAAGCCUGUCGAAAACGGCUUUUGG
This 27-nucleotide small RNA is filed under the name Sinorhizobium meliloti 2011. Its description in RNAcentral is "putative ncRNA". The record is from RNAcentral. Lineage: Bacteria; Pseudomonadati; Pseudomonadota; Alphaproteobacteria; Hyphomicrobiales; Rhizobiaceae.